GCCUGAAGAACCAGCAAAUACACUGCUCCUGAAAAUCGCAGUGUCGGCGGUUCGACUCCGUCCCUGGGCACCA
Molecule: transfer RNA, 73 nt
Filed under: Methylobacterium soli
Lineage: Bacteria; Pseudomonadati; Pseudomonadota; Alphaproteobacteria; Hyphomicrobiales; Methylobacteriaceae
Description: tRNA-OTHER
Source: RNAcentral